AGACAAAGUAUCAGGAUGGAGAAGAUGCAGGGAUCUGUGCUAAUUAUAUUUUGGCUUCAUUUUGGCUGUCUGCAGUGGUACAGACAGGACGCAGGGACAGGUCUCAGACACCUCUUCUCCAUGUAUUCCGCUGGGGAUGUGCAGCAGAAGGGAAGACUACGAGCCACGUUGCUGAAGGGUGGAAGCAGCUUGAACAUCACAGCCGUGCAGCAUGGAGACUCAGCCACCUACCUCUGUGCUGUAAGAGGCUUUCAGCAGCUCAAGUUUGGAACUGGCACACAAGUUUUGAUCAGCCCAACCAUCAAGGACCCUGACCCGACUGUGUACCAGCUGAGAAACUCUAAAUCCAGAAACACUGUCUGCCUAUUCACCGAUUUUGAUUCUAACACCAACGUGCCAUUACAACUUACCAAGGAUUCUGAAAUGUUUGUCUCCAAAAACACUGUGCUGGACAUGAAGUCCAUGGAUUCCAAGAGCAACGGCGCCUUGGCCUGGAGCAACAAAACUGACUUCACUUGUAAGAGUGCCUUCACCCAGAACAUCUUCUUCCCCAGCUCAGAGAUUCCCUGUGAUGCGAAGUUGGUAGAGAAAAGCUUUGAAACAGAUAUAAACCUAAACUUUCAAAACCUGUCAGUGAUGGGGCUCCGCAUCCUCCUCCUGAAAGUGGCUGGCUUUAACGUACUCAUGACGCUACGGCUGUGGUCCAACUGAGGUCGGCAAGAUUAUAAGGACCUGAGCUCCCUCAUCCUUCCUCCUCUUCCCUCCUCUCUCUUCUUCAAGCAAAGGGAAUCUCCCACCUCCAUGAAGAAGGCGGCUCCAUUGCCUUUUUGGCCCCCACUGACAAAGCCACCAACUGGAUCUACCCAAAUUUGUCAUGAAGAUUGCUAAAGAGCUGCCAAACGCUGCUGCCACCCCCUCCAUUCCCAGACUGCUGCUUGUCACCAUUCUCAGCAAAAGUAGGGGCUGCUGCAGCCUCUCCUAGCUGUGGAGAAUCCCUCCCCCUCCCCAGAGACUGCCUCUGAUGGAUCCCCCUGGGGUUUCUUAGACUUUAGUUCCUGGAGAAUGUUCUCCAGUUUAUAUUUUUUAAACAUUGUUCAUAAAGAAGUACUUUAUUAUUCUUUUUCUCAAGAUGUGGGGAAAAUUAGCUCAUUAUCUAGGUCCUGCUAUGCUGUGUAUCUGAGGCACAUUGUGUAUUAUUCUGCUACUCGCGGCUUCAUUAAAAAUGAUUUAGAAGAGCAGA
Molecule: non-coding RNA, 1240 nt
Organism: Marmota flaviventris (yellow-bellied marmot)
Lineage: Eukaryota; Metazoa; Chordata; Mammalia; Rodentia; Sciuridae
Source: the annotation of a RefSeq genome assembly